RNAcentral lists this ribosomal RNA (481 nucleotides) under uncultured bacterium. RNAcentral's name for it is "bacterial SSU rRNA". It matches the Rfam family "Bacterial small subunit ribosomal RNA", at positions 28 to 507 of the family's 1533-position model. The record is from RNAcentral.
GAUGAACGCUGGCGGCGUGCCUAACACAUGCAAGUCGAACGGAACUUUUACGGAUUGAGACUUCGGUUGAUUGAAGUUUAAGUUUAGUGGCGGACGGGUGAGUAACGCGUGAGUAACCUGCCUUUCACAGGGGGAUAACGUUUGGAAACGAACGCUAAUACCGCAUAACGUAGCGGGGUCGCAUGGCUCUGCUACCAAAGAUUUUAUCGGUGAGAGAUGGACUCGCGUCCGAUUAGGUAGUUGGUGAGGUAACGGCCACCAAGCCGACGAUCGGUAGCCGGACUGAGAGGUUGAACGGCCACAUUGGGACUGAGACACGGCCCAGACUCCUACGGGAGGCAGCAGUGGGGAAUAUUGCACAAUGGGCGCAAGCCUGAUGCAGCAACGCCGCGUGAGGGAAGACGGUUUUCGGAUCGUAAAGCCCUGUCUUUUGGGACGAGUAAUGACGGUACCAAAGGAGGAAGCCACGGCUAACUACGUG